Molecule: ribosomal RNA, 360 nt
Filed under: Clostridioides difficile
Lineage: Bacteria; Bacillati; Bacillota; Clostridia; Peptostreptococcales; Peptostreptococcaceae
Description: bacterial SSU rRNA
Rfam family: Bacterial small subunit ribosomal RNA
Source: RNAcentral
GUUGUCGUCAGCUCGUGUCGUGAGAUGUUGGGUUAAGUCCCGCAACGAGCGCAACCCUUGUCUUUAGUUGCCAUCAUUAAGUUGGGCACUCUAGAGAGACUGCCAGGGAUAACCUGGAGGAAGGUGGGGAUGACGUCAAAUCAUCAUGCCCCUUAUGCUUAGGGCUACACACGUGCUACAAUGGGUAGUACAGAGGGUUGCCAAGCCGUAAGGUGGAGCUAAUCCCUUAAAGCUACUCUCAGUUCGGAUUGUAGGCUGAAACUCGCCUACAUGAAGCUGGAGUUACUAGUAAUCGCAGAUCAGAAUGCUGCGGUGAAUGCGUUCCCGGGUCUUGUACACACCGCCCGUCACACCACGGGA